This 332-nucleotide unclassified non-coding RNA is filed under the name soil metagenome. RNAcentral's name for it is "partial contains 5.8S ribosomal RNA, internal transcribed spacer 2, and large subunit ribosomal RNA". The stretch from base 1 to 120 matches the Rfam family "5.8S ribosomal RNA", at positions 35 to 154 of the family's 154-position model. The record is from RNAcentral.
GAUGAAGAACGUAGCGAAAUGCGAUAAGUAAUGUGAAUUGCAGAAUUCAGUGAAUCAUCGAAUCUUUGAACGCACAUUGCGCCCGCCAGUAUUCUGGCGGGCAUGCCUGUCCGAGCGUCAUUUCAACCAUCAAGCCCCGGGCUUGUGUUGGGGACCUGCGUCCGACGCAGGCCCUGAAAACCAGUGGCGGGCUCGCUGUCCACACCGAGCGUAGUAACUAACCUCACUAUGGAGUGGCGCGGGCGCCUGCCGUAAAACCCCCAAUUUCACAAGGUUGACCUCGGAUCAGGUAGGAAUACCCGCUGAACUUAAGCAUAUCAAUAAGCGGAGGA